UACGGGGGGGGCAAGCGUUGUUCGGAAUUACUGGGCGUAAAGGGCUCGUAGGUGGCCAACUAAGUCAUACGUGAAAUCCCUCAGCUUAACUGGGGAACUGCGUCUGAUACUGGAUGGCUUGAGUUUGGGAGAGGGAUGCGGAAUUCCAGGUGUAGCGGUGAAAUGCGUAGAUAUCUGGAGGAACACCGGUGGCGAAGGCGGCAUCCUGGACCGACACUGACGCUGAGGAGCGAAAGCCAGGGGAGCAAACGGG
RNAcentral lists this ribosomal RNA (253 nucleotides) under uncultured bacterium. RNAcentral describes it as "partial 16S ribosomal RNA". It matches the Rfam family "Bacterial small subunit ribosomal RNA", at positions 524 to 776 of the family's 1533-position model. The record is from RNAcentral.